RNAcentral lists this transfer RNA (52 nucleotides) under Aspidoscelis sexlineatus sexlineatus. RNAcentral describes it as "Aspidoscelis sexlineata sexlineata partial tRNA-Ala". Lineage: Eukaryota; Metazoa; Chordata; Lepidosauria; Squamata; Teiidae. The record is from RNAcentral.
UUUAAGACUUGCGUCACUUCAACACAUCUCCUGAAUGCAACUCAGACACUUU